GACGAACGCUGGCGGCGUGCUUAACACAUGCAAGUCGAACGAUGAAGUUCCUUCGGGAAUGGAUUAGUGGCGAACGGGUGAGGAACAUGUGAGAAACCUGCCUUUCAUUUUGGGAUAACUCCGGGAAACCGGGGCUAAAACCGAAUACUCCGUCUCGGCGGCAUCGCUGAGCCGGGAAAAAAUUUUGAUGAAAGAUGGUCUCGCGGCCUAUCAGCUGGUUGGUGAGGUAAUGGCUCACCAAGGCAACGACGGGUAGCCGGCCUGAGAGGGCGACCGGCCACACUGGGACUGAGACACGGCCCAGACUCCUACGGGAGGCAGCAGUGGGGAAUAUUGGGCAAUGGGCGCAAGCCUGACCCAGCGACGCCGCGUGAGGGAUGAAGGCCUUCGGGUUGUAAACCUCUUUCAGUAGGGAAGAAGCGAAAGUGACGGUACCUAAAGAAGAAGCACCGGCUAACUAUGUGCCAGCAGCCGCCGUAA
RNAcentral lists this ribosomal RNA (480 nucleotides) under uncultured bacterium. RNAcentral describes it as "partial 16S ribosomal RNA". It matches the Rfam family "Bacterial small subunit ribosomal RNA", at positions 28 to 523 of the family's 1533-position model. The record is from RNAcentral.